Molecule: ribosomal RNA, 466 nt
Filed under: uncultured bacterium
Lineage: Bacteria
Description: partial 16S ribosomal RNA
Rfam family: Bacterial small subunit ribosomal RNA
Source: RNAcentral
CUACGGGUGGCUCCAGUGGGGAAUAUUGGACAAUGGGGGAAACCCUGAUCCAGCAAUGCCGCGUGUGUGAAGAAGGCCUGCGGGUUGUAAAGCACUUUCGGUUGGGAGGACUGCUUCUAGCACUAAUAUUGUUGGAAGUUGACGUUACCUUCAGAAGAAGCACCGGCUAACUCCGUGCCAGCAGCCGCGAGUAAUACGGAGGGUGCAAGCGUUAAUCGGAAUUACUGGGCGUAAAGCGCGCGUAGGUGGCUAGAUCAGUCGGGUGUGAAAGCCCCGGGCUUAACCUGGGAACUGCAUCCGAUACUGUCUAGCUUGAGUACAGGAGAGGAGAGUGGAAUUCCACAUGUAGCGGUGAAAUGCGUAGAUAUGUGGAGGAACACCGAUGGCGAAGGCAGCUCUCUGGCCUGAUACUGACGCUGAGGUGCGAAAGCGUGGGGAGCAAACAGGAUUAGAUACCCCGGUAGUC